GAGGCAGCAUUCGGCUGCCGAAGCUUGCCCCGAAAGAAGACUUUCGGAUCUGUCUGGGAGGUUCGGCCGCCGAAGGUGCCGCCGAACCUGCCUGACUUUCGGCUCUGGAGGGACUUUCGGCCGCCGAACCUGCCGCCGAAAGUGCCCUGUUCAGCCACUUCUUGCAUGUUUUUAUGUGAUGUUUUCAGGAUGUUUUAGGGGGUUUUUGGGGAGUAUAUUAGAGUUGUAUUUACGUAUGUUUGGUCCCUCAUUUGAGUCCACCUGUGUAGGUUCGGACCCGAGGAACCGAGGACCCCAGCAGUGAGUUCAGCUGCUUCGGUGUUGUCAGAGUUAGCCAGAGGUGAGUGGAACUAAAACUUAAUCUUUUAAAUUAAAUGCUUUAUCAUGUUUCAUGCAUCAUGAUUAUGCAAUAGGAUGAUUGCAUUAGUAUUCACGAAUAUGCCGCAUUGCAUAAAUUGUUGUUGUUGUGGGUGAAUGUCGGAUGACCCAGUUAGUCCAUGACAGGAAGACCAGGCCCCAGUCUACAGGCCUGGCACAGAGUAAGAAAGACCAGGCCCCAGUCUACAGGCCUGGCAUAGAGUAAGAAAGACCAGGCCCCAGUCUACAGGCCUGGCACAGAGUAAGGAAAGACCAGGAUCCCAUCCUAUGGUCUAGCACGGUUAUGGGACUUGAAGACCAGGAGCCCAGAGGAGGCCCUGGGAAAAUGGUAAGUAAUGUAUGUUCUGACAGGAAAGACCAGGACCCCAUUCUACAGGCCUGGCGCAGAGUUAACUUGGACUAAUUGGUGACGGGUUCACCCAACCCUUAUGUGAAUUGUUUGUGUUAUGAUGCAUUCCAUUUGAGCAUAGUGUUAAUGUGUUUUACUAGCUCUACUCACUGGGCUUCUAGCUCACCCCUCUCCCUUUACCCCCAGGCUUGCAGGUACAGUAUAGUGCGGGAGUCCGGAUAGAGUAAAGAAGUCAUGCUUAUGUAAUAGCUAGCAAUGGACAUGAUCAAAUUGUAAUGUAAAAGUACAGUAUAGUCAUGUAAUGAGGUUUAUGGAUGUUAGUGUGUGCUUGACCAUA
This 1064-nucleotide long non-coding RNA is filed under the name Manihot esculenta (cassava). RNAcentral's name for it is "long non-coding RNA (MESC_LNC009877)". Lineage: Eukaryota; Viridiplantae; Streptophyta; Magnoliopsida; Malpighiales; Euphorbiaceae. The record is from RNAcentral.